Molecule: ribosomal RNA, 513 nt
Filed under: uncultured bacterium
Lineage: Bacteria
Description: partial 16S ribosomal RNA
Rfam family: Bacterial small subunit ribosomal RNA
Source: RNAcentral
GACGAACGCUGGCGGCAUGCCUAAUGCAUGCAAGUCGAGCGAACAGAUGAAGUGCUUGCACUUCUGACGUUAGCGGCGAACGGGUGAGUAACACGUAAGGAAUCUACCUAUAAGCGGGGGAUAACAUUCGGAAACGGGUGCUAAUACCGCAUAAUAUCUUCCUCCGCAUGGAAGAAGAUUGAAAGACGGCUCUGCUGUCACUUAUAGAUGACCUUGCGGUGCAUUGGUUAGUUGGUGGGGUAACGGCCUACCAAGACGAUGAUGCAUAGCCGACCUGAGAGGGUGAUCGGCCACAUUGGGACUGAGACACGGCCCAAACUCCUACGGGAGGCAGCAGUAGGGAAUCUUCCGCAAUGGGCGAAAGCCUGACGGAGCAAUGCCGCGUGAGUGAAGAAGGCCUUCGGGUCGUAAAACUCUGUUAUAAGAGAAGAACAAAUUGUAGAGUAACUGCUACAGUCUUGACGGUAUCUUAUCAGAAAGCCACGGCUAACUACGUGCCAGCCGCCGCGGUAA